This 693-nucleotide ribosomal RNA is filed under the name Pseudomonas chlororaphis. Its description in RNAcentral is "bacterial SSU rRNA". It matches the Rfam family "Bacterial small subunit ribosomal RNA", at positions 55 to 744 of the family's 1533-position model. Lineage: Bacteria; Pseudomonadati; Pseudomonadota; Gammaproteobacteria; Pseudomonadales; Pseudomonadaceae. The record is from RNAcentral.
AUGCAGUCGAGCGGUAGAGAGGUGCUUGCACCUCUUGAGAGCGGCGGACGGGUGAGUAAUGCCUAGGAAUCUGCCUGGUAGUGGGGGAUAACGUCCGGAAACGGACGCUAAUACCGCAUACGUCCUACGGGAGAAAGCAGGGGACCUUCGGGCCUUGCGCUAUCAGAUGAGCCUAGGUCGGAUUAGCUAGUUGGUGAGGUAAUGGCUCACCAAGGCGACGAUCCGUAACUGGUCUGAGAGGAUGAUCAGUCACACUGGAACUGAGACACGGUCCAGACUCCUACGGGAGGCAGCAGUGGGGAAUAUUGGACAAUGGGCGAAAGCCUGAUCCAGCCAUGCCGCGUGUGUGAAGAAGGUCUUCGGAUUGUAAAGCACUUUAAGUUGGGAGGAAGGGUACUUACCUAAUACGUGAGUAUUUUGACGUUACCGACAGAAUAAGCACCGGCUAACUCUGUGCCAGCAGCCGCGGUAAUACAGAGGGUGCAAGCGUUAAUCGGAAUUACUGGGCGUAAAGCGCGCGUAGGUGGUUUGUUAAGUUGGAUGUGAAAUCCCCGGGCUCAACCUGGGAACUGCAUCCAAAACUGGCAAGCUAGAGUAUGGUAGAGGGUGGUGGAAUUUCCUGUGUAGCGGUGAAAUGCGUAGAUAUAGGAAGGAACACCAGUGGCGAAAGCGACCACCUGGACUGAUACUGAC